RNAcentral lists this long non-coding RNA (1551 nucleotides) under Helianthus annuus (common sunflower). The record is from RNAcentral. Lineage: Eukaryota; Viridiplantae; Streptophyta; Magnoliopsida; Asterales; Asteraceae.
AUGAUUUAUUAAAUAUGUAUUGGGCUUGGGCUAGGCCAUGUGGGCCAAUGGGGUAGUGGCUCCUAUAUAUAGGCUUGAUUAGAUUGUUAAUAGGAGAGCUCUCCCACAUUUUAUAAUCAUGUAGCCCCAAAUAGAGAGCCUUGUACCAGACAAUCCUAGAGAUUGUGUGCAAGGUUCUCGAAGAUUGUACCAGACAGUCCUUAAGACUGUGUGCGAUCUAAGCAGCCACACUAUGUUAUUCAAUGAAAAUUUUCUUUUUGUUCUCAUUGGUUUGAUUUAUAUUCCGCGUUCGAUCGAACCGUGGAAUGAUGUCACGGGUAUUCGGGACUAACAAGUGGUAUCAGAGCCAUUGAAGUCUUUCAAAGGCUCGGUAUUUGAUAUCACUCGUAAAACGAGAAUAAGUUUUGCAUAGUGUCAGGGAUGAAUGUUCGUAAAUGGAAAGAGAUUUCGGUUCAUUGAAAUCUGGUAUUUAUUCACAGAUCUGAAAAAUUUAAGAUCUGGUGAUGUUUUUGUCCAAUCCAGCAAAUUUAUUCAUCUACAGAUUCAAAAUUUUGGUUAAAAUACAUGGAUGGCAUUUGCUAUUUUUUGAGAAGCUCAAAGAAUUUUCUGGGUGUCUUCAGCCAGAAUGUGUUGCUUCAUCUCCACAAAUCUCUUUUUCUUUCGAGUCCAUCUGUUGCUCCAAUGACGUUACCGGAAACAAUGACGAAAGAGAUGAACAACGAUGUUUUGGUGAUAAUGCUGAUGGAAUACAGGUUGCUCGAAGAAGAUGACCAACGACGGAGACGAUGACCGUUACCGAGGUCCGACGAAGAUGUACAGUGGUCUUCGGUGGUUGCGGAGGUGGACGUUGAACAGAGAAUAGAUGACGAAACAGUAACUCGAAAUGGUUUUUGCUUUGAAUAAUGAUAGCCGGAGGCGAAGUGUCGAAGCUGGAGAAGAUGAACAGAGGUGAGUCGGGUUAUGACAGAGAUCUGAGACGGAGGUGAACCGGUUAAACGGAGACGGAUGUAUGAUGUAGAUCACGGACUGAUGAAGAUGAAGAUGUUGGUCCGAGAUGUAUUGUGUUUUAUCCGAGAUGGCUUCGAAAUGGAACACAGAUGAUGAAGAUGCCGAUGUAUGAUGUAUGAUGAUUGAUGAUGACAGACGAUGAUUUAAUAAUAUAUGUUGUUGGAUGAUGUUGGAAAAAAAUUUCAAAUGAAAAGCUGAUGAUAAUGAAAUAUGUAGAAUGUAUGUAUGGCUAUGUUGAAGAUGAUGAUGUCACGCAUGGUUAGUAAAUGAAUGUUGGGUAUGGCGGCUGUCAUAGGAUGUCAAAUCAGAAAAUUAAAAAAACCGUAGUAAAUGUGAGCCAUUGGAUGAUUGAUUGAUCCACGGUCUCAAAUGAAGGGAAUGUUUCGAACUUCAGUGCAGAAUGAUUGUGGGGACCAUGGUGGCAUCUGAUUACGGAAUGGACAGGAGAUCAAGUGGGUUUAAUACUAGCCCAAUAGACAUGAGCCUAGGUUCAACAUUUUUAAUUGGAUUAAUAGGAUGCAUCAGUUUUAUUUUUGUUUGAUG